UACGGGGGGGGCAAGCGUUGUUCGGAAUUACUGGGCGUAAAGGGCUCGUAGGCGGCCAACUAAGUCAGACGUGAAAUCCCUCGGCUCAACCGGGGAACUGCGUCUGAUACUGGAUGGCUUGAAUCCGGAAGAGGGAUGCGGAAUUCCAGGUGUAGCGGUGAAAUGCGCAGAUAUCGGGAAGAACACCCGUGGCGAAGGCGGUUCUCUGGGACGGUACUGACGCUGAGACGCGAAAGCGUGGGGAGCGAACAGG
RNAcentral lists this ribosomal RNA (253 nucleotides) under uncultured bacterium. RNAcentral's name for it is "partial 16S ribosomal RNA". It matches the Rfam family "Bacterial small subunit ribosomal RNA", at positions 524 to 776 of the family's 1533-position model. The record is from RNAcentral.